CGACCCCGCCAGGAUUCGAACCUGGAAUCUUCUGAUCCGUAGUCAGACGCCUUAUCAAUCGCGUCACAGGGUG
Molecule: transfer RNA, 73 nt
Filed under: Fasciola hepatica (liver fluke)
Lineage: Eukaryota; Metazoa; Platyhelminthes; Trematoda; Plagiorchiida; Fasciolidae
Description: tRNA-Arg
Source: RNAcentral